AACGAACGCUGGCGGCAUGCCUAACACAUGCAAGUCGAACGAGACCUUCGGGUCUAGUGGCGCACGGGUGCGUAACGCGUGGGAACCUGCCCUUAGGUUCGGAAUAACUCCCCGAAAGGGGUGCUAAUACCGGAUAAUGUCUUCGGACCAAAGAUUUAUCGCCUUUGGAUGGGCCCGCGUUGGAUUAGCUAGUUGGUAGGGUAAAAGCCUACCAAGGCGACGAUCCAUAGCUGGUCUGAGAGGAUGAUCAGCCACACUGGGACUGAGACACGGCCCAGACUCCUACGGGAGGCAGCAGUGGGGAAUAUUGGACAAUGGGCGAAAGCCUGAUCCAGCAAUGCCGCGUGAGUGAUGAAGGCCUUAGGGUUGUAAAGCUCUUUUACCCGGGAUGAUAAUGACAGUACCAGGAGAAUAAGCUCCGGCUAACUCCG
Molecule: ribosomal RNA, 431 nt
Filed under: uncultured bacterium
Lineage: Bacteria
Description: partial 16S ribosomal RNA
Rfam family: Bacterial small subunit ribosomal RNA
Source: RNAcentral